RNAcentral lists this ribosomal RNA (492 nucleotides) under uncultured bacterium. RNAcentral describes it as "partial 16S ribosomal RNA". It matches the Rfam family "Bacterial small subunit ribosomal RNA", at positions 29 to 507 of the family's 1533-position model. The record is from RNAcentral.
AGUGAACGCUGGCGGUAGGCCUAACACAUGCAAGUCGAACGGCAGCACAGUAAGAGCUUGCUCUUACGGGUGGCGAGUGGCGGACGGGUGAGGAAUACAUCGGAAUCUACUUUUUCGUGGGGGAUAACGUAGGGAAACUUACGCUAAUACCGCAUACGACCUACGGGUGAAAGCAGGGGAUCUUCGGACCUUGCGCGAUUGAAUGAGCCGAUGUCGGAUUAGCUAGUUGGCGGGGUAAAGGCCCACCAGGGCGACGAUCCGUAGCUGGUCUGAGAGGAUGAUCAGCCACACUGGAACUGAGACACGGUCCAGACUCCUACGGGAGGCAGCAGUGGGGAAUAUUGGACAAUGGGCGCAAGCCUGAUCCAGCCAUACCGCGUGUGUGAAGAAGGCCUUCGGGUUGUAAAGCCCUUUUGUUGGGAAAGAAAAGCAGCAGGUUAAUACCCCGCUGUUCUGACGGUACCCAAAGAAUAAGCACCGGCUAACUUCGUG